GGGCGGAAGUGAGGGAAGCUCGGCCCUCCCGGAGCGUUUCCGCCCUCCGCGGUGCGGUGGGCGCGUCCGGGUGGGGCGGCGGAGGGAGGAGGCGAAAGGGGUGCAGGGGAGAGCCUCGCAUUCCUGGGCUCCCCGUGGCUGAGCGCCACGUGGGGGACCUCUGUGGGACAGCGGUGCCGUUAUUAAACCCCCUUCCAAGAUGGCAGAAUAAACGAGAAGAGGUUUUCCUAACGGCCAUUCCCCAUAAGCACAAGCAGGAGGUGCCGUUCCUGGGUGGAGUUUGGUUGGGGAAAGGCCCCAUUGCUGCGCAGUGCAGUCACAGACAGUUCAGGCAUUCCCAGCCCCAACUGCGGCUGCGGGAAUGGGGGGUCUGUUGGGAUAUGGGGUGUAAAGGGCCGCCGGCUCAGCUCGUCUGCUGAGGCCUUUGGAGGGGCUCACAACGCGAGGCCAGAAAUGGGGCUGGGGGAGAAGGGGACAAAAGGCAGCCCAGCAAGGAAAGGCAGCGGCUGCGCAGGCCCAGGCACUGCGGGGUUCAGUCCCGGCCUUCCAGCUGAACUGAGCGUCCGUGGUGGGUUCUGUCGGGGUCCGUAGCAGUGCCAGAAUCCCAUCCAGGCCCCAUUUGGGCUGCGGUUUCCGACUCAUCACGGGGCAAAAGAAAGGUACGGUGUGAUUGAAAGGAGUUAUCGGCUGCAUAUGGUGCAUUCCGGGCAGCGGAGCCGAUAACCCAAACAGCUGAGGUUCCAAUGGAGAGCAUUUUGCCAACGGAGGGGUGGGUGAAGGAUCUGAGCCGUCUCCCUCAUACAGGGGGGGCCCAAACACGGACAGAGGGGCUGCCUAUGGGCCGGAGGAGCAGGCGGUGUUCAGCCAUCAGCACUGGAAGAGCUGCAGGAGAUCCCAGGCCCGGAGACGCAGAGGAUUCUCCCCAUCGUGUGAGGGGGGGGUCCGAAGGAGGACACAGCGCUGCCCCCUCCCCUGGAGAUGAGGCGACACCGCCCUCCCCAUCAGCACAGGCAGCAGUGAGGUGACACAUCAGCCCCCAAUGCACGGGAGACCCCUGGGAGCAUUUUUUGGGGAGGGGGGGGGGGCCACCCCAAGCCUCUCUCCCCCACGCACCCCAUAAGCGCCAUCCCGGUCCCCCACCUCCCAAAAAGAAGAGCAAGAAAACCUCAAAACCAACCCCACCCCCCC
Molecule: long non-coding RNA, 1188 nt
Organism: Gallus gallus (chicken)
Lineage: Eukaryota; Metazoa; Chordata; Aves; Galliformes; Phasianidae
Exons: 2
Source: RefSeq, a predicted model, not a curated record